Molecule: non-coding RNA, 323 nt
Organism: Homo sapiens (human)
Lineage: Eukaryota; Metazoa; Chordata; Mammalia; Primates; Hominidae
Source: Rfam
GGAUGCGAGAGUGAUCUGGCUGCGACACCUGUCAUGCCAUUGAUUGCCAGGGUUGCUUCGGCUAAUCUGGCUGGCUAGGCAGGUGUCCCCUUGCUCUCUCACGACUCCAUGUGCAUCCCUCCGAAAGCUGUGCACCCAGUCAAAGAGGAUGACCAUCCCCAAUAGAGGAGGAUCGGUCUUCGGUCAAGGGUAUAUGAGUAGCUGUGCUGCCCUGCUAGAGCCUCCAAACAAGCUCUCAAGAACCAGGUGGUGGAUUUCCUUUAAAGUAAUUUAACAGAUUAAUAAUUCAACAAGCCAUUAUAGCCAUGUAGGGAUUAAAAGCU